This 1370-nucleotide ribosomal RNA is filed under the name uncultured bacterium. RNAcentral describes it as "16S ribosomal RNA". It matches the Rfam family "Bacterial small subunit ribosomal RNA". The record is from RNAcentral.
AGAGUUUGAUCCUGGCUCAGGACGAACGCUGGCGGCGCGCCUAACACAUGCAAGUCGAACGAGCGAGAGAGAGCUUGCUUUCUCGAGCGAGUGGCGAACGGGUGAGUAACGCGUGAGGAACCUGCCUCAAAGAGGGGGACAACAGUUGGAAACGACUGCUAAUACCGCAUAAGCCCACAGCUCGGCAUCGAGCAGAGGGAAAAGGAGCAAUCCGCUUUGAGAUGGCCUCGCGUCCGAUUAGCUGGUUGGUGAGGUAACGGCCCACCAAGGCGACGAUCGGUAGCCGGACUGAGAGGUUGAACGGCCACAUUGGGACUGAGACACGGCCCAGACUCCUACGGGAGGCAGCAGUGGGGAAUAUUGCACAAUGGGGGAAACCCUGAUGCAGCGACGCCGCGUGGAGGAAGAAGGUCUUCGGAUUGUAAACUCCUGUUGUUGAGGAAGAUAAUGACGGUACUCAACAAGGAAGUGACGGCUAACUACGUGCCAGCAGCCGCGGUAAAACGUAGGUCACAAGCGUUGUCCGGAAUUACUGGGUGUAAAGGGAGCGCAGGCGGGAAGGCAAGUUGGAAGUGAAAUCCAUGGGCUCAACCCAUGAACUGCUUUCAAAACUGUUUUUCUUGAGUAGUGCAGAGGUAGGCGGAAUUCCCGGUGUAGCGGUGGAAUGCGUAGAUAUCGGGAGGAACACCAGUGGCGAAAGCGGCCUACUGGGCACCAACUGACGCUGAGGCUCGAAAGUGUGGGUAGCAAACAGGAUUAGAUACCCUGGUAGUCCACACUGUAAACGAUGAUUACUAGGUGUUGGAGGAUUGACCCCUUCAGUGCCGCAGUUAACACAAUAAGUAAUCCACCUGGGGAGUACGACCGCAAGGUUGAAACUCAAAGGAAUUGACGGGGGCCCGCACAAGCAGUGGAGUAUGUGGUUUAAUUCGACGCAACGCGAAGAACCUUACCAAGUCUUGACAUCCUGCGACGCACAUAGAAAUAUGUGUUUCCUUCGGGACGCAGAGACAGGUGGUGCAUGGUUGUCGUCAGCUCGUGUCGUGAGAUGUUGGGUUAAGUCCCGCAACGAGCGCAACCCUUAUGGUCAGUUACUACGCAAGAGGACUCUGGCCAGACUGCCGUUGACAAAACGGAGGAAGGUGGGGAUGACGUCAAAUCAUCAUGCCCUUUAUGACUUGGGCUACACACGUACUACAAUGGCGUUAAACAAAGAGAAGCGAGACCGCGAGGUGGAGCAAAACUCAGAAACAACGUCCCAGUUCGGACUGCAGGCUGCAACUCGCCUGCACGAAGUCGGAAUUGCUAGUAAUCGCAGAUCAGCAUGCUGCGGUGAAUACGUUCCCGGGCCCCUUGUACACACCGCCCGU